Long non-coding RNA from Anthonomus grandis grandis, 439 nucleotides. RefSeq lists it as uncharacterized. The transcript has 3 exons. The record is from RefSeq and is a predicted model, not a curated record. Lineage: Eukaryota; Metazoa; Arthropoda; Insecta; Coleoptera; Curculionidae.
CGUUACUUCAAAACCGGAUAAAUAGGGCAUCAAACUUCUGAUGCGCUGUGAUGCUAAAAUAGCUUUUGCAUGUUAAUCGUAAAAAAACGAAAUUUCGAUUUUUCUCAAAAACUAUAAUUUUUUAAAUUUUGAUAAUUAUGUGCAAAGUGCCCCUUUGCAAGGAGUACUUGACAGUUUUUAAAUGAAAGCUCUAUCUUUAAUAACAAAAAAGUUAUGCAAAAUUUUCGAUCUAAAAAAGUACAUGUUAAUCGUAAAAAACCGAAAUUUCCAGUUUUCUCAAAAACUAUAAUUUUUUAAAUUUUGAUAAUUAUGUGCAAAGUGCCCCUUUGCCAGGAGUACUUGACAGUUUUUAAAUGAAAUCUCUAUCUUUAAUAACAAAAAAGUUAUGCAAAAUUUUCGAUCUAAAAAAAUACAUGUUAAUUGUAAAAAACAGAAAUUU